GCCUUUAGUUGCCAGCAGUUCGGCUGGGCACUCUAAAGGGACUGCCGGUGUUAAACCGGAGGAAGGUGGGGAUGACGUCAAGUCCUCAUGGCCUUUAUGACCAGGGCUACACACGUACUACAAUGGCCGAUACAAAGGGCAGCGACACUGCGAGGUGAAGCCAAUCCCGUAAAAUCGGUCUCAGUCCGGAUUGGAGUCUGCAACUCGACUCCAUGAAGUUGGAAUCGCUAGUAAUCGUGGAUCAGCCAAGCCGCGGUGAAUACGUUCCCGGGCCUU
Molecule: ribosomal RNA, 276 nt
Filed under: uncultured Desulfobulbus sp.
Lineage: Bacteria; Pseudomonadati; Thermodesulfobacteriota; Desulfobulbia; Desulfobulbales; Desulfobulbaceae
Description: partial 16S ribosomal RNA
Rfam family: Bacterial small subunit ribosomal RNA
Source: RNAcentral